This 80-nucleotide transfer RNA is filed under the name Schizosaccharomyces japonicus yFS275. RNAcentral describes it as "tRNA-Und (NNN) (tRNA-Und-NNN-3-1)". It matches the Rfam family "tRNA". Rfam says of the family: Transfer RNA (tRNA) molecules are approximately 80 nucleotides in length. Their secondary structure includes four short double-helical elements and three loops (D, anti-codon, and T loops). Lineage: Eukaryota; Fungi; Ascomycota; Schizosaccharomycetes; Schizosaccharomycetales; Schizosaccharomycetaceae. The record is from RNAcentral.
GGCACUAUGCCUGAGUGGUUAAAGGGACAGACUAGAAUCUGUUGCGGUCUCCGCGCGCAGGUUCAAUCCUGCUGGUGUCG